This is a long non-coding RNA of Chiroxiphia lanceolata (lance-tailed manakin), 525 nucleotides long. RefSeq lists it as uncharacterized. NCBI's taxonomy places the organism in Eukaryota, Metazoa, Chordata, Aves, Passeriformes, Pipridae. The transcript has 4 exons. The record is from RefSeq and is a predicted model, not a curated record.
UCAUAUGAUAGAUGUGACUCAGGGAGGAACCGAGGUUGGGGAGGGCAAAACUGGCCCCAGAAUGGAUCGGGAAUGGGGACCCCCCCUGCGUUCCCCUGUGUCAACCUGCUCUGGGGGGCUUUGGGAGGGCACCUCCCCCUCAAUGGGCAUCCAGCUCACCCUAAAGGCAACUGCUGCCAUGGAUAACAUCGAUUGUAAGAAGGCAGAAGAGAAGGACAUGAAAGGGCCACCUGUGAGUAAAAGAUGUGUGGAGGAAUUGAUUUGCUCACUGUAAGCAAAAUAGCUGCUCUUGGUCGAAGGACUGGUCUGUGUAGAACAGCAGAUUUCUUGCCAUGUUUCUCCUUCCAGCUCUUCCUCAAAACUCUGCCUGUGCCAUCCACUGACGCCUUUCUAGCCCCCAAUCAUCUGCUCGAAUCUCUAAAACAUGUGACUCAUGUUCCAUUUUUAUAUUCAUCUUCACAUGACUCCUAAAUCUUUCUGUGUGCAUUUUUGUUUGUUUUCUCACUGGGUUGUAAAUGAGCUGUU